RNAcentral lists this long non-coding RNA (216 nucleotides) under Capsicum annuum. RNAcentral's name for it is "long non-coding RNA (CANN_LNC017582)". The record is from RNAcentral. Lineage: Eukaryota; Viridiplantae; Streptophyta; Magnoliopsida; Solanales; Solanaceae.
AGCCCUCAUGCUAGACAGUAAUUCUAAAGCAUAUCGCAAUAGCUGAUGAAACUUCAAGGUAUACUCCUUUACUGUCAUUCUUUUUUGUUUCAAAUUUAUGAAUUUCUCAGCCUUUGCCUCCCUCAAAUCUCAAGGAAAGAAUCAAGAUAAGUACUAGAGAAGUUAUUCCACAAGACUAACUGAGUAUCAUCACCCCUAGACUGGUCCCAUUCCUAA